CGUAGGGUGCGAGCGUUAAUCGGAAUUACUGGGCGUAAAGCGUGCGCAGGCGGUUCGUCGUGUCCGAUGUGAAAGCCCCGGGCUCAACCUGGGAAUGGCAUUGGAAACUGGCGGACUCGAGUGUGGCAGAGGGGGGUGGAAUUCCGCGUGUAGCAGUGAAAUGCGUAGAGAUGCGGAGGAACACCGAUGGCGAAGGCAGCCCCCUGGGCUAACACUGACGCUCAGGCACGAAAGCGUGGGGAGCAAACAGGAUUAGAUACCCUGGUAGUCCACGCCCUAAACCAUGUCAACUGGGUGUUCGGGAAGCGAUUCCUGAGUACCGUAGCUAACGCGUGAAGUUGACCGCCUGGGGAGUACGGCCGCAAGGUUA
RNAcentral lists this ribosomal RNA (370 nucleotides) under uncultured organism. RNAcentral's name for it is "bacterial SSU rRNA". It matches the Rfam family "Bacterial small subunit ribosomal RNA", at positions 526 to 896 of the family's 1533-position model. The record is from RNAcentral.